CUAGAAUAUGCAUUUCAAAAUUCCACGAGCUCUUACUGUGUGAAACUCUUCGAAGUAUUUUGAUCAAUGGGACAUUUGGCCAUCUGAAAAAUAAAUUUGUAUGUUAUUUAUAUCUGUUGAAAAGAGGAAAAUUGGACUGAUUCUUACCCCAAUGCUACUGAUAUUGAAAUCUCCUGAAGGCAGAUUCUGCUUUAGAGAUCAACAUGCUGCAUAUCACAGCAAUGAUGGGACGCACGGUGCGGGCACUGGGCAGAGAGGUUCUAUCCUGGAGAGCAUUCCUGGAUUUCUAGUUCCAGGUAAAAUUCACAACGUACUCUGUAGAUUCACCUUUAUUACUGUAAUAAGAAUUCACAAGCUGGGAUGCCCAGGUGGCUCAGCGGUUGAGCACCUGCCUUUGGCUCAAGGCAUGAUCCUAGAGUCCCAGGAUCGAGUCCCACGUCGGGCUCCCUGCAUGGAGUCUGCUUCUCUCUCUGCCUGUGUCUCUGCCUCUCUCUGUGUCUCUCAUGAAUAAAUAAAUACAAUCUUUAAGAAAAAAAGAAUUCACA
Molecule: long non-coding RNA, 545 nt
Filed under: Vulpes vulpes (red fox)
Lineage: Eukaryota; Metazoa; Chordata; Mammalia; Carnivora; Canidae
Description: lncRNA (ENSVVUG00000011038.1)
Source: RNAcentral